AGAGUUUGAUCAUGGCUCAGAUUGAACGCUGGCGGCGUGCUUAACACAUGCAAGUCGAUCGGUAACGCGGGGGCAACCCUGGCGACGAGAGGCGGACGGGUGAGGAACGCUUGGGAAUCUGCCCAUCAGCGGGGGACAACCCGGGGAAACCCGGGCUAAUACCGCAUACGCUCUAUGGAGGAAAGCCGGGGACCGCAAGGCCUGGCACUGAUGGAUGAGCCCAAGUCGGAUUAGCUAGUUGGCGGGGUAACGGCCCACCAAGGCGACGAUCCGUAGCUGGUCUGAGAGGACGAUCAGCCACACUGGGACUGAGACACGGCCCAGACUCCUACGGGAGGCAGCAGUGGGGAAUAUUGGACAAUGGGGGAAACCCUGAUCCAGCGACGCCGCGUGGGUGAAGAAGGCCUGCGGGGUUGUAAAAGCCCUUUCGGUAGGGACGAAAAGCUCUCGACCUAACACGUCGGGAGGAUGACUUUAACCUACAAAAGAAGCACCGGCUAACUCUGUGCCAGCAGCCGCGGUAAUACAGAGGGUGCGAGCGUUAAUCGGAAUUACUGGGCGUAAAGCGCACGUAGGCGGCUUGGCAUGUCGGGUGUGAAAUCCCCGGGCUCAACCUGGGAACUGCAUCCGAAACUGCCUUGCUAGAGUAUGGGAGAGGGAAGCGGAAUUUCUGGUGUAGCAGUGAAAUGCGUAGAUAUCAGAAGGAACACCAGUGGCGAAGGCGGCUUCCUGGACCAAUACUGACGCUCAGGUGCGAAAGCGUGGGGAGCAAACAGGAUUAGAUACCCUAGUAGUCC
RNAcentral lists this ribosomal RNA (797 nucleotides) under uncultured bacterium. RNAcentral's name for it is "bacterial SSU rRNA". It matches the Rfam family "Bacterial small subunit ribosomal RNA", at positions 8 to 796 of the family's 1533-position model. The record is from RNAcentral.